Molecule: ribosomal RNA, 468 nt
Filed under: uncultured bacterium
Lineage: Bacteria
Description: partial 16S ribosomal RNA
Rfam family: Bacterial small subunit ribosomal RNA
Source: RNAcentral
GACGAACGCUGGCGGCGUGCUUAACACAUGCAAGUCGAACGGACAGGCCCUGCUUUUGUGGGGUGCUCGUGUGGCGAACGGGUGAGUGACACGUGAGUAACCUGCCCUUGACUUUGGGAUAACAUCAGGAAAAUGGGGCUAAUACCGGAUAGGAGCUCCUGCUGCAUGGGGGGGGUUGGAGAGUUUCGGUGGUGGGGGAUGGACUCGCGGCGUAUCAGCUUGAUGGUGGGGUAGUGGCUGACCCAGCCUUUGAGGGGUAGCCGGCCUGAGAGGGUGACCGGCGACACAGGCACUGAGAGGAGGCACAGGUACGUACGGGAGGGAGCAGUGGGGAAUAUUGCAGAAUGGGCGGCGGGCUGAUGCAGCAACUCCGCGUGCGGGAUGACGGUCUUCGGGGUGUAAACCGCUUGCGCCUGUGACGAUGCGUGAGUGACGGUAAUGGGUAAAGAAGCACCGGCUAACUAAGUG